RNAcentral lists this ribosomal RNA (191 nucleotides) under Halobacillus sp. JM-Hb. Its description in RNAcentral is "partial 16S ribosomal RNA". It matches the Rfam family "Bacterial small subunit ribosomal RNA", at positions 1332 to 1521 of the family's 1533-position model. The record is from RNAcentral. Lineage: Bacteria; Bacillati; Bacillota; Bacilli; Caryophanales; Bacillaceae.
UCGCUAGUAAUCGCGGAUCAGCAUGCCGCGGUGAAUACGUUCCCGGGCCUUGUACACACCGCCCGUCACACCACGAGAGUUGGCAACACCCGAAGUCGGUGAGGUAACCUUUUCGGAGCCAGCCGCCGAAGGUGGGGCCAAUGAUUGGGGUGAAGUCGUAACAAGGUAGCCGUAUCGGAAGGUGCGGCUGG